Molecule: ribosomal RNA, 440 nt
Filed under: uncultured bacterium
Lineage: Bacteria
Description: partial 16S ribosomal RNA
Rfam family: Bacterial small subunit ribosomal RNA
Source: RNAcentral
CCUACGGGAGGCAGCAGUGGGGGAUAUUGCACAAUGGGGGAAACCCUGAUGCAGCGACGCCGCGUGGGUGAAGAAGCGCCUCGGCGCGUAAAGCCCUGUCAGCAGGGAAGAAAAUGACGGUACCUGAAGAAGAAGCCCCGGCUAACUACGUGCCAGCAGCCGCGGUAAUACGUAGGGGGCAAGCGUUAGCCGGGUUUACUGGGUGUAAAGGGGGCGCAGACGGGGAUGCAAGCCAGGAGUGAAAGCCCGGGGCCCAACCCCGGGACUGCUCUUGGAACUGCGUGGCUAGAGUGCAGGAGGGGCAGGCGGAAUUCAUGGUGUAGCGGUGAAAUGCGUAGAUAUCAGGAGGAACACCGGUGGCGAAGGCGGCCUGCUGGACUGCAACUGACGUUGAGGCCCGAAAGCGUGGGGAGCAAACAGGAUUAGAUACCCGAGUAGUC